Molecule: long non-coding RNA, 468 nt
Filed under: Pongo abelii (Sumatran orangutan)
Lineage: Eukaryota; Metazoa; Chordata; Mammalia; Primates; Hominidae
Description: lincRNA
Source: RNAcentral
UCCUUUUUGGCCUUUAACCUUCCUCCAUGUAAGAACACAGUGAACAAGGUGCCAUCCUGGAAACAAACAGCAGCCUUCACCAGACACCAGACCUUCUGGCACCUUGACCUUACACUUUCCAGCCUCCAGAACCGUGAGAAAUCAAUGUUUAUUGUUUAUAAAUUACCCAAUCUGUGGUAUUUCUUUAAAACAGCAUAAUGGGACUAAGACACCGUCAGAACUUGGGACUAGAAGAAUAAUUUUGCCCUCUGAGAGCUGAUUCUUAACACAGAAUAAAAAUGAAGAAUUACUAUAAAGAGAUGGACUACCUCAAAGGACUAGAACUAUUGUCACUGAGGGCAGGUGAAAGUUCAGCCAACUCGGAACCCGGAGGCCCCACCUUACCUCCCUUUGUGAAGAGCCCAGAGCCUUUGUCCAAAGCUGCAUCACUUCCCACCCAGCCCUUCCUGAGCCAACUCCCCGAUGUCU